RNAcentral lists this unclassified non-coding RNA (520 nucleotides) under uncultured Glomus. RNAcentral describes it as "SSU rRNA". It matches the Rfam family "Eukaryotic small subunit ribosomal RNA", at positions 569 to 1090 of the family's 1831-position model. The record is from RNAcentral. Lineage: Eukaryota; Fungi; Glomeromycota; Glomeromycetes; Glomerales; Glomeraceae.
AGCAGCCGCGGUAAUUCCAGCUCCAAUAGCGUAUAUUAAAGUUGUUGCAGUUAAAAAGCUCGUAGUUGAAUUUCGGGAUCAAUAUAUUGGUCAUGCUUAGGUAUGUACUGGUAUUAUUGAUUUCUCCCUUCUGAAGAACCAUGAUGUCAUUAAUUUGAUGUCGUGGGGAAUCAGGACUGUUACUUUGAAAAAAUUAGAGUGUUUAAAGCAGGCUUUCGCUUGAAUACAUUAGCAUGGAAUAAUGAAAUAGGACGUUUGAUUCUAUUUUGUUGGUUUCUAGGAUCGACGUAAUGAUUAAUAGGGAUAGUUGGGGGCAUUAGUAUUCAAUUGUCAGAGGUGAAAUUCUUGGAUUUAUUGAAGACUAACUACUGCGAAAGCAUUUGCCAAGGAUGUUUUCAUUAAUCAAGAACGAAAGUUAGGGGAUCGAAGACGAUCAGAUACCGUCGUAGUCUUAACCAUAAACUAUGCCGACUAGGGAUCGGAUGAUGUUAAUUUUUUUAAUGACUCAUUCGGCGCCUUA